GGGGCAUUAGCGCAGUUGGUAGCGCAUCACACUGGCAGUGUGGGGGUCAGGGGUUCAAAUCCCCUAUGCUCCACCA
Molecule: transfer RNA, 76 nt
Filed under: Ruminococcus sp.
Lineage: Bacteria; Bacillati; Bacillota; Clostridia; Eubacteriales; Oscillospiraceae
Also listed under: 1 other name
Description: tRNA-Ala
Rfam family: tRNA
About the family: Transfer RNA (tRNA) molecules are approximately 80 nucleotides in length. Their secondary structure includes four short double-helical elements and three loops (D, anti-codon, and T loops).
Source: RNAcentral